GUCCUACGGGGGGCAGCAGUGGGGAAUAUUGCACAAUGGGGGAAACCCUGAUGCAGCGACGCCGCGUGAGUGAAGAAGUAUCUCGGUAUGUAAAGCUCUAUCAGCAGGAAAGAUAAUGACGGUACCUGACCAAGAAGCCCCGGCUAACUACGUGCCAGCGGCCGCGGUAAUACGUAGGGGGCAAGCGUUAUCCGGAUUUACUGGGUGUAAAGGGAGCGUAGACGGCUGUGCAAGUCUGAAGUGAAAGCCCGUGGCUCAACCGCAGAACUGCUUUGGAAACUGUAUAGCUUGAGUACUGGAGAGGC
This 305-nucleotide ribosomal RNA is filed under the name uncultured bacterium. Its description in RNAcentral is "bacterial SSU rRNA". It matches the Rfam family "Bacterial small subunit ribosomal RNA", at positions 335 to 658 of the family's 1533-position model. The record is from RNAcentral.